UGAUCCUGGCUCAGGACGAACGCUGGCGGUGCGCCUUAUGCAUGCAAGUUGAGCGAAGCUUUUCAGUAGUUUACUACAGAAAAUGACUGAGCGGCGAACGGGUGAGUAACGCGUGAGCAAUCUACCUUAGUUACUGGGAUAGCCCGAGGAAACUCGGAUUAAUACCGGAUAUUCUUAUUUUUUCACAUGAAGUUUUAAGGAAAGGUCAGCCGAACUAAGAUGAGCUCGCGUUCUAUCAGCUAGUUGGUGGGGUAAAAGCCUACCAAGGCAACGACGGAUAGCUGGUCUGAGAGGACGAUCAGCCACACUGGGACUGAGACACGGCCCAGACUCCUACGGGAGGCUGCAGCAGGGAAUAUUGUGCAAUGAGCGAAAGCUUGACACAGCGACACCGCGUGUGGGAUGACGGUUCUAGGAUUGUAAACCACUUUCAGGAGGGAAGAAAAUGACGGUACCUCCACAAGAAGACCCGGCCAACUAUGUGCCAGCAGCCGCGGUAAUACAUAGGGGUCAAGCGUUGUCCGGAUUUAUUGGGCGUAAAGAGCUCGUAGGCGGUUCAACAAGUCGGUCGUAAAAGUUUAGGGCUCAACCCUAAAAUGUCGAUCGAUACUGUUGUGACUAGGAUACGGUAGAGGUGAAUGGAAUUCCGAGUGUAGCGGUGAAAUGCGUAGAUAUUCGGAGGAACACCAAUUGCGAAGGCAGUUCACUGGACCGUGAUCGACGCUGAGGAGCGAAAGCUAGGGGAGCAAACAGGAUUAGAUACCCUGGUAGU
RNAcentral lists this ribosomal RNA (772 nucleotides) under uncultured marine bacterium. Its description in RNAcentral is "bacterial SSU rRNA". It matches the Rfam family "Bacterial small subunit ribosomal RNA", at positions 14 to 794 of the family's 1533-position model. The record is from RNAcentral.